RNAcentral lists this ribosomal RNA (253 nucleotides) under uncultured bacterium. RNAcentral describes it as "partial 16S ribosomal RNA". It matches the Rfam family "Bacterial small subunit ribosomal RNA", at positions 524 to 776 of the family's 1533-position model. The record is from RNAcentral.
UACGUAGGGUGCAAGCGUUAAUCGGAAUUACUGGGCGUAAAGCGUGCGCAGGCGGUUAUGCAAGACAGAUGUGGAAUCCCCGGGCUCAAACUGGGAAAUGCAUUUGUGACUGCAUGACUUGAGUACGGUAGAGGGGGAUGGAAUUCCGCGUGUAGCAGUGAAAUGCGUAGAUAUGCGGAGGAACACCGAUGGCGAAGGCAAUCCCCUGGACCUGUACUGACGCUCAUGCACGAAAGCGUGGGGAGCAAACAGG